This is an RNA transcript of Hyposmocoma kahamanoa, 1435 nucleotides long. It is a transcript of the gene named collagen alpha-1(III) chain-like, with no coding region annotated. NCBI's taxonomy places the organism in Eukaryota, Metazoa, Arthropoda, Insecta, Lepidoptera, Cosmopterigidae. The record is from RefSeq and is a predicted model, not a curated record. The transcript has 10 exons.
GCCUCCCUCCGCUCUGCCGCCUUUGCCUGUUUGUCAAGCUCGUUUAACCCGCCAUUUUGUUGCAAUUUCGCCGUGUAAUCUUUAUAGCUGCAGUUAAUAGAAUUGUAUAGAGACAUUUUAGGUUUUUACCAACUAAAUAUUUGUAAAUACGUGUGCAGUUCAACAGUUUUGUUGAAAUGGACGGCCCACCAUUCCGUGGGAUGCGUGGUGGCCGCGGCGGGCCGCCAGGAAUGAAUGGCCGAGGGCGAGGCGGGUUCGAUAUGCGUGGACGUGGCGGACCAGGAAUGAGAAUGAGAGGUGGUCCACCUCGUGGUCCAAUGCGCGGAGGUCCACGGGGCUUUCGCGGUGGGCCCAUGCGUGGCGGCGGCGGCGACAGGGGCGGCCGCAGCUUUCCUCCCGGCCCACAGGGCCCAGGCCCACAUCCAGUCCCUACUAUUGAAACUAGAGGAGCACCUCCACAGAGAGGAGGGUUCAACAGAGGUGGUCCUGGCGGUAUGCGAGGGCGGGGUGGCAGAGGCCGUGGAGACUUUGUACCUCGUGGCGACAGAGGUGGCCGAGGAGGAAUGGGAAUGAGAGGUCGAGGUGGACGUGGUGGUCACGGACUACCUGGUGGUCCCCCAGGCGGCCUUCCAGGUCCGCAUCCCGGUUCAGCGCCUCACGCAGGCCCUGGGCCUCAUCCAGGAGCUGGUGGACCAGGGCCGGGUGGUCCCCCAAACAUGCCACCGAGGUCAGCGCCUGCGCCUCAUCAGGGUGGUGCGCCUCCACAACAAGCACCACCAUUCAAGCGAGGAGGCGGCCCGCCACUUGGAGGACCAGGAGGACCACCCAAGCGAGGAAGAUUCGAUGGUCCACGUGGUGGUGGACGCCCCCCGCAAACCGGUGGCUACCAGCAACCGCCACACAGUGCUCCUCCAGCUAAUGGUUAUGGACCACCAUCGCACACAGGAUAUCAGCCGUACGAGUCGCCGGCGGCGGCGGAUCCAUACGCACCCCCGGCAUAUAGCACCACUGGCUCGUAUCAAGGCAAUAACUAUUCGACGCCUGUGCCAGCGCAAUCGGGGUCGGGUUACAAUUCGGGUAGUUACGGAUCAGGCUAUGGCUACUCAACGGGCGGGCAGGGAGGUUAUGAGCAUGAGGGCUAUGGGGGCGUAGCGGGGGGCGCGGGUGACGCAGGCUACGGCGCGGCUGAACCCGCAUAUGGCAGCGGGGGGCCCGCACCUGCUUACGACUCUUACUCGCAACCUGCAUACAACUCCUAUCAGCCACAGCAACCUCAGUAUAGCAACAGUUAUGAAUAUGGAUGAAAUGAUAUUGUGAAGACAAUAUCCUGACAUUGAACUGGAUUCCACUGUAGGACAGCAACAUGCAUACAUGGGUUGACGAAAACAGCAGUAGCACGAAAACCUGCUGGUAGCCCUUGGAGGAAGAAAAAAUA